GACAGAGGGUGCAAGCGUUAAUCGGAAUUAUUGGGCGUAAAGAGCGCGUAGGUGGAUCGUUAAGUUGGAUGUGAAAUCCCUGGGCUUAACCUGGGAAUUGCAUUCAAAACUGGCGGUCUAGAGUAUGGUAGAGGGAAGUGGAAUUUCUGGUGUAGCGGUGAAAUGCGUAGAUAUCAGAAAGAACACCAGUGGCGAAGGCGACUUCCUGGACCAAUACUGACACUGAGGUGCGAAAGCGUGGGGAGCAAACAGG
This 253-nucleotide ribosomal RNA is filed under the name uncultured bacterium. RNAcentral's name for it is "partial 16S ribosomal RNA". It matches the Rfam family "Bacterial small subunit ribosomal RNA", at positions 524 to 776 of the family's 1533-position model. The record is from RNAcentral.